Molecule: long non-coding RNA, 388 nt
Filed under: Medicago truncatula (barrel medic)
Lineage: Eukaryota; Viridiplantae; Streptophyta; Magnoliopsida; Fabales; Fabaceae
Description: long non-coding RNA (MTRU_LNC000600)
Source: RNAcentral
GGGUUCACUCUUGAUCCAAAUGUGCGACACAGAUCGCACAAACACUCAAGACACUCAAAGCUGGAAGUGCUCGCGAGGCGAGAGUUCUUACUCGCCAUGGCGAGUACCAAACAAUUCCCAAACUAAAGUUGUUCUGGGUCCAACCUUGCCCUACAUUCAAUCCUAAUCAUUACUAGGUAUGUUCAGGCACUCAAAGGCACUCAAGGUCCAACUAAAAAGGUCGAAACACAAAAUCUAACAUGCUCUCUGCCUUAGCUCGCUAUGGCGAGUAAGGUUGCUCGCUAUGGCGAGCGGUACCCAAAGGAACUCGCGAGGCGAAGGGGAAAGGCUCGCGUGGCGAGCGAUGAAGUUCAUCACUCGCGAGGCGAGGAUCAUCCCUCGCCAAGGC